UCACGUCUGCGGCUGUCACG
Molecule: microRNA, 20 nt
Filed under: Homo sapiens (human)
Lineage: Eukaryota; Metazoa; Chordata; Mammalia; Primates; Hominidae
Description: hsa-miR-11401
Source: miRBase by way of RNAcentral